GUUUCCGUAGUGUAGUGGGUAUCAUGUUCGCCUAUCACGUGAAAGGUCCCUCCCUGGUUUGAAACCGGGUGGAAACA
This 77-nucleotide transfer RNA is filed under the name Petromyzon marinus (sea lamprey). RNAcentral's name for it is "tRNA-Asp (ATC) (tRNA-Asp-ATC-1-1)". The record is from RNAcentral. Lineage: Eukaryota; Metazoa; Chordata; Hyperoartia; Petromyzontiformes; Petromyzontidae.